GGGGGCUGCAGAGGCAAAACAAAUCAGGGAAGUGUCGGCUUGUUGUCGUGUUCACGGAUUUUUUCAUAUUUUUUAUAUUUUAUAUUUUCUAUAUAUUUAUAUUUUUUAUAUUUAUUUUUUCUCUUCAUCCUUUUGAGCCGUUCAGUCAUUACACAACCAGAGCUGUGACUUUGACUGGUCCUUAAAUGGACGACAAAUCUCAACCGUCUCCCACUAGAGGAAAAAAUGAAGCCAAAUGAUCUUGGACACGGGAGCUGCCAUCUUGCUCUGAUGUUACUUGGGAGCAGAGUGUGCACAGUAGUGAUCAGGGAGAGUUAACUACAGACGAGCCACAUACACACCUUGGUUCUGGCGUCUGUCUCGGAGCGAGCCUCCUGGUUCGGGGACCUGACCCAGAGGAGGCGUCCCCUCACAGAUCCUGGGGGACCCGGGGUCCUUCUCACUGCCGGAGUCGGGCAGCGGGUCCCUGUCGGUGAUGCAGGGGGUGAUGCUGCAGCGUCUCUGAAGGGUCAGCGGGGACAUGACACCCUGGACGGGAACAAUAUAUCAAUAAGGUUUUGAAAUACACAAAGUGUUCCCUUUGAACACGUGACAUAAUUUACUUAUAUUAUCAGAAAAGGGAAAACAGGGUUGAAAUGAAAACUGCUGCCGACUCACCUCUCUCACCUUUCUGAUCAAAUUCAGCCAAAGACUGAAAGAUAAACAUGAUAAAAACAUUAUUAUAUUUCACUCAGAAACCUGUGGAUUACAAUCGCAACACAUAAGCACGAUAGGUGCAUAUAUAGAGUGUAUACACCCACUUGCAGUCCUCUGGGUUGUCAGUGAGCAGCAGCAGGAACUUGUUCUGGGGCAGGAUGAGGGCGAAGCAGCAGUCCCUUCUGCCCCCUGGAGGCAGCCGGGGCAGGUCCAGGAUCUCUCGUCCCUCCACGAUGGACCCACAGCUGGUCUGCAGAGCCACCACCUGAUCGGGGGGGGAUUCUGCGUCGCGGCACACCAGCAGGUUUCCCUCCAUGGUCAACACCAGGUGCUUCUCCUUCCACUGUUUAAACAUGAAGCCCCCUGCAGACAAACAAGACACAAGGUCCAGUUAUAGAUACUUAUAUACUUAUAUUCAUAUAUUAAAACGACUGUGUAGGAUCUCAAACUUUUAAUGUGUGGAUAAAAAAGUUUGUGUGUUGAUAAAUUAAGUUUUUUGAGGCUAUGGUUUAGUUUGUACUCAACUUAUAUAUGUUCUUUUUAGUUUUUGUCUUAAUUGGACAAGUAGAAAGAAGAAUUAUUACAAAUAUACCACAUAAAGAGCAAUAAAUAGCAUUGAUGCAAUAACAAUCAGUAAUGGUUAUAAUGUUGGGCCGGGUCAGAACAGGAGCACUGAAUAUUAUUACACUGCACAAGAGGAUAUUUAAUGAUCUGUUCAGAAACAUAAAGUCCCCCCAUGAGUGACACCUUAAACACUCAUAUUUAAAAUAAGGGCUAUUCUGAAAUGUUAUAUUAAAGAGAUUACUCGACAAAACAGGGGAGACUGCAUAUGGCUUAUGAUCUGAAUUCUAAAAUAACUGUAGAAAUGUAAACUAGAUAUAAACAAUAAAAAGAAAACUACGUGCAAAUGAUUACAGCAGGUGAUUCUACGUGUCCUACGAGCUCUAUCAGUCGUCACCUUCAGGGAUCAACAGUGAAAACACGUUUCCAGGGCAGGACACACAUGAUGGAUUGUCCCAGACAGCGAUCAGCUGAGUAAUAAUGAUAAUAGACGGAGGACACAUGUUGAUGGAUGGGGAAGACUCGCUCUAGUUCUCCACACAGAGGAUUAAAGACGGACAGGUGGAUUUUCAAAAGAGAGAGAGCAGAGAGGUGGAGAGGCCGAGAGGUGUGGACUGAUUUAUUUAUAUGACAUCAUGAGAGUGAUAUAGCAAAGUUAGUCCUCUAGAAGAGUGUCUGCUAGAGAAUUGUGGAUUUCAAUAAACAUAUUGACUAAAGCU
Molecule: long non-coding RNA, 1976 nt
Organism: Platichthys flesus (European flounder)
Lineage: Eukaryota; Metazoa; Chordata; Actinopteri; Pleuronectiformes; Pleuronectidae
Exons: 2
Source: RefSeq, a predicted model, not a curated record